This 618-nucleotide ribosomal RNA is filed under the name uncultured bacterium. Its description in RNAcentral is "bacterial SSU rRNA". It matches the Rfam family "Bacterial small subunit ribosomal RNA", at positions 57 to 666 of the family's 1533-position model. The record is from RNAcentral.
GCAAGUCGAACGGAAACGAUGGGAGCUUGCUCCCAGGCGUCGAGUGGCGGACGGGUGAGUAAUACUUAGGAAUCUACCCAGUAGCGGGGGACAACUCGAGGAAACUCGAGCUAAUACCGCAUACGCCCUACGGGGGAAAGCAGGGGAUCUUCGGACCUUGCACUAUUGGAUGAGCCUAAGUCGGAUUAGCUUGUUGGUGAGGUAAAGGCUCACCAAGGCGACGAUCCGUAGCUGGUCUGAGAGGACGAUCAGCCACACUGGGACUGAGACACGGCCCAGACUCCUACGGGAGGCAGCAGUGGGGAAUAUUGGACAAUGGGGGCAACCCAGAUCCAGCAAUGCCGCGUGUGCGAAGAAGGCCUGCGGGUUGUAAAGCACUUUCAGUAGAGAAGAAAAGCUUACGGUUAAUACCCGUGGGUCUUGACGUUACCUACAGAAGAAGCUCCGGCUAACUCCGUGCCAGCAGCCGCGGUAAUACGGAGGGAGCGAGCGUUAAUCGGAAUUACUGGGCGUAAAGCGCGCGUAGGCGGCUUUGUAAGUCGGAUGUGAAAGCCCUGGGCUCAACCUGGGAAUGGCAUUCGAUACUGCAGAGCUAGAGUAUGGUAGAGGGAAGUGGAA